CAAUAGCGCAUGUUAAAGUUGUUGCAGUUAAAAAGCUCGUGGUUGGAUUUGUGGUUGGAGCGACCGGCCCGUCACUCAGUGUCGGUGUUUGUGUCGUCUCCGUCCAUCCUUGGGUGGAAGCAGCGUGGCAUUGAGUUGUCGUGCUGGGGACACCCAUCGUUCACUGUGAAAAAAUUAGAGUGUUCAAAGCAGGCUUGCGCCGUUGAACAUGUUAGCAUGGAACAAUAAGAUAGGACCUGGGUACUAUUUUGUUGGUUUGCGCACCCUGGUAAUGAUUAACAGGGACAGUUGGGGGUGUUCGUAUUCCAUUGUCAGAGGUGAAAUUCUUGGAUUUCUGGAAGACGAACUGAUGCGAAAGCAUUUACCAAGGAUGUUUUCAUCAA
This 383-nucleotide ribosomal RNA is filed under the name uncultured eukaryote. Its description in RNAcentral is "partial 18S ribosomal RNA". It matches the Rfam family "Eukaryotic small subunit ribosomal RNA", at positions 592 to 976 of the family's 1831-position model. The record is from RNAcentral.